GACAGAGGGUGCAAACGUUGUUCGGAAUUACUGGGCGUAAAGCGCGUGUAGGCGGCAGGGCAAGUCGGAUGUGAAAUCCCAUGGCUCAACCAUGGAAGUGCACCCGAAACUGCCCAGCUAGAGUCUCGGAGAGGAAGGCGGAAUUCUCGGUGUAGAGGUGAAAUUCGUAGAUAUCGAGAGGAACACCGGUGGCGAAGGCGGCCUUCUGGACAGUGACUGACGCUGAGACGCGAAAGCGUGGGGAGCAAACAGG
Molecule: ribosomal RNA, 253 nt
Filed under: uncultured bacterium
Lineage: Bacteria
Description: partial 16S ribosomal RNA
Rfam family: Bacterial small subunit ribosomal RNA
Source: RNAcentral